AACGAACGCUGGCGGCAGGCUUAACACAUGCAAGUCGAACGGUUGUAGCAAUACAGCAGUGGCAGACGGGUGAGUAACACGUGGGAACCUUCCUAGGGGUACGGAACAACUCAGGGAAACUUGAGCUAAUACCGUAUACGUCCGUGAGGAGAAAGUUUUAACGCCCCUAGACGGGCCCGCGUAGGAUUAGGUAGUUGGUGAGGUAACGGCUCACCAAGCCUACGAUCCUUAGCUGAUCUGAGAGGANGAUCAGCCACACUGGGACUGAGACACGGCCCAGACUCCUACGGGAGGCAGCAGUGGGGAAUCUUGGACAAUGGGCGCAAGCCUGAUCCAGCCAUGCCGCGUGAGUGAAGAAGGCCUU
RNAcentral lists this ribosomal RNA (364 nucleotides) under uncultured bacterium. RNAcentral describes it as "bacterial SSU rRNA". It matches the Rfam family "Bacterial small subunit ribosomal RNA", at positions 29 to 418 of the family's 1533-position model. The record is from RNAcentral.